RNAcentral lists this long non-coding RNA (1334 nucleotides) under Equus caballus (horse). RNAcentral's name for it is "lncRNA (ENSECAG00000053556.1)". The record is from RNAcentral. Lineage: Eukaryota; Metazoa; Chordata; Mammalia; Perissodactyla; Equidae.
CUGCAUCCCCCUUCAUGGUCACUGCAUCUUCCGUCACACCAUACUGCAUAAACCUUUAGGUACCCUGCCUCCAAUGGGUGGGCACUGCAUUCACGUUCAGCGACACAGAAGACAGCACUGCAAACCCUGCAGGGACACGACCUCCAGCUGAUGUGGAAAUGAGGCGCACUGCAAUCACUGCAGGAUCACUGCAUCCACUGCAUGUUCAGAGCAUCCACUUUCACGGACACAGCAGGGUACACUACAACCACUUCAGGGACACUGCAUCCAGAUGAAGUGGCACUGCAGGUGCACUGCAAUGACUGCAGGAUCAAUGCAUGGUCCUUCAUGGGAAGAGAAUCCUGAUUCACAACAUACUGCAUCCACCGUGACUCACACUGCAGACACAGCAUGGGUACUGCAUCCACAUUCAGGGAACUAUAGGGGGCACUGCAACCACUGCAGCAUCACUCCAUCCACCUGCACGGGCUCUGCAUUAUCCAUCACAAAAUACUGCACCCACCUUGUGGGACACUGCAUCCACUACAUGAGUACUUCAUCCACAUUACUGGACAAUGCAGAGGGCACUGCAAGCACUGCAGGAACACUACAUCCACCUUCAUGAGAUCUGCAUCAUCCAUCAUAACAUACUGCAUCCACCUUGUGGGACACUGCAUCCACUGCCUGGGCAUUGCAUCCACAUUCCCGGGCAAUGCAGGGGCACUGCAACCAGUGCAGCAACACUGCAUCCAGCUGAAGUUGCAUUGCAGGCUCACUGCAAUCACUGAGGGAUCACUGCAUCCAAUGGAUGUUCACAGCAUCCACAGUCAGGGACACAGCUGGCUGCACUGCAUCCACUGCAGGGACACUGCAUCCAGAUGAACUCGCACUGCAAUUGCACUGCAAUGACUGCAGGAUCACUGCAUCGUCCUUCAUGGGCCCUGAAUCCUGCUUCACAACAUACUGCAUCCACCUUGAGUCACACUGCAGACACUGCAUGGGCACAGCAUCCACAUUCAGGGACAUGGCAGGGGGCUCUGCAACCACUGCAGCUACACUGCAUCCAGCUGAGGUGGCACUGCAGGUGCACUGCAAUCACUGAGGAUUCACUACAUCCAUUGCAUAGGCCCUGCAUCAAAAUUUCAGGACAAUGCCGGGGACACUGCAACCUCUGGAGGGACACUGCUUCCCCCUUCAUGGGCACUGCAUCCUCCGUCACAACAUACUGCAUAAACCUUUAGGUACACUGCCUCCACUGCAUGGGCACUACACUCACCUUCAGCGACACAGAAGGCGGCACUGCAACCUCUGUAGGGACACUGCUUCCAGAGAUGUGGAAAUGCAGGCGCACUCCA